This 81-nucleotide microRNA precursor is filed under the name Lotus japonicus. Its description in RNAcentral is "miR11135b stem-loop (lja-MIR11135b, lja-MIR11135c)". The record is from miRBase by way of RNAcentral. Lineage: Eukaryota; Viridiplantae; Streptophyta; Magnoliopsida; Fabales; Fabaceae.
UGAUUGGAUAAGCUUAUACAAUACAUUAUGUGCUUAUCCAUUGUUUUGUGCAAACAUUGUAUUGUAUAAGCUUAUCCAUCA